ACAGGGAUUGCCCUAGUAACGGCGAGUGAAGCGGCAACAGCUCAAAUUUGAAAUCUGGCGUCUUUGGCGUCCGAGUUGUAAUUUGCAGAGGGCGCUUUGGCAUUGGCAGCGGUCCAAGUUCCUUGGAACAGGACGUCACAGAGGGUGAGAAUCCCGUACGUGGUCGCUAGCCUUUACCGUGUAAAGCCCCUUCGACGAGUCGAGUUGUUUGGGAAUGCAGCUCUAAAUGGGAGGUAAAUUUCUUCUAAAGCUAAAUACUGGCCAGAGACCGAUAGCGCACAAGUAGAGUGAUCGAAAGAUGAAAAGCACUUUGGAAAGAGAGUUAAAAAGCACGUGAAAUUGUUGAAAGGGAAGCGCUUGCAGCCAGACUUGCCUGUAGUUGCUCAUCCGGGUUUUUACCCGGUGCACUCUUCUAUAGGCAGGCCAGCAUCAGUUUGGGCGGUUGGAUAAAGGUCUCUGUCACGUACCUCCUCUCGGGGAGAACUUAUAGGGGAGACGAAAUGCAACCAGCCUGGACUGAGGUCCGCGCAUCUGCUAGGAUGCUGGCGUAAUGGCUGUAAGCGGCCCGUCUUGAAACACGGACCAAGGAGUCUAACAUCUAUGCGAGUGUUUGGGUGUCAAGCCCGAGCGCGUAAUGAAAGUGAACGGAGGUGGGAACCUUUCGGGGUGCACCAUCGACCGAUCCUGAUGUCUUCGGAUGGAUUUGAGUAAGAGCAUAGCUGUUGGGACCCGAAAGAUGGUGAACUAUGCUUGAAUAGGGUGAAGCCAGAGGAAACUCUGGUGGAGGCUCGCAGCGGUUCUGACGUGCAAAUCGAUCGUCAAAUUUGGGCAUAGGGGCGAAAGACUAAUCGAACUAUCUAGUAGCUGGGUCCUGC
Molecule: ribosomal RNA, 875 nt
Filed under: Boeremia sp. SCJ-2017a
Lineage: Eukaryota; Fungi; Ascomycota; Dothideomycetes; Pleosporales; Didymellaceae
Description: eukaryotic LSU rRNA
Rfam family: Eukaryotic large subunit ribosomal RNA
Source: RNAcentral